AUGGAGGGAGGGAGGGAUAGUUCUUUAAGCCUAAUGGAGGGAGGGGGGGAUAGGAGGUUCUUUAAGCCUGUAGAAUGGAGGGAGGGAUAGUUCUUUAAGCCUGUAGAAGGGAGGGAGGGAUAGUUCUUUAAGCCUGUAGAAUGGAGGGAGGGAGGGAUAGUUCUUUAAGCCUGUAGAAUGGAGGGAGGGAGGGAUAGAGAGAUGAACAAUAAAGGAGUGAAUGAAGCAGAGGGGUGCCUGGAGGAGUGUAAAAACAUCUUAUCCCUCUCUCCCUGGCCAUCUGGUUGUUUGUUUGUGCUGGUGCAGAAAGUGUGUGUGUGUGUG
Molecule: long non-coding RNA, 324 nt
Organism: Oncorhynchus tshawytscha (Chinook salmon)
Lineage: Eukaryota; Metazoa; Chordata; Actinopteri; Salmoniformes; Salmonidae
Source: Ensembl